UCACAAUACACUUUGUAAAGAUUUCUCUGAUGUCCUAAUGCAAGGGCUGCCCACUUUUUUAGACUGCUGGGCACAUUUGGAUUUUUGAGCCAGUGCCAUGGGCACACACACACCCUUCUUGAUGUCUCCUCCACCACCGAAUCACACGCUGCUUUCCCAAGGGAUCUGGAGAGCACUGAAAAGCACAUGGAAGUGAAAGAGGCAAGUGGGAAUGAGCAUCAUUCUUCCAAGUUCCUACUUCCAUUCUCUAAUGUUAAUUUUCAGGAAGAAGGUAACCACCCUCAAAAGGGGCAGUGGCUGGCAGGGAGAUACUGAUAACACCAAGGUUGCUGGUUUGAUCCCUGUAAGGGACAGCUAAAUAUUCCUGCACUGUGGAGGGCUGGACUAGAUGAGGCAUCCCCAAAUUGGCCCUCCAGAUGUUUUGGGACUACAACUCCCAUCAUCCCUGACCACUGGUCCUGUUAGCUAGGGAUGAUGGAGGGCUGAGUUUGCCUAUGCCUGCCUUAAAUCCUAAAGCCGUGUUUCCCAAACUUAGGUCUCCAGCUGUUUUUGGACUACAACUCCCAUCAUCCCUAGCUAACAGGACCAGUGGUUGGGGAUGAUCGGAAUUGUAGUCAGAAAACAUCUGGAGGGCCAAGUUUGGGGGUGCCUGGACUAGAUGGUCCUCAGGGUCCCUUGCAACUCUACAAUUCUGUGAUUCUAUGUACACCAGGGGCAGACCUCAAGGGCACCGUUGCACCCAUAAGGGCCACAUAGGUGACCCCUGUCCUAAUGGGUGGUUUGGUUGAUGCUACAAGAACAGGACCUGAGCCAGAGUGGGAGAAGGCAGUGCGGUGUAGUGGUUAGAGUGUUGGACUAGUACCUGGGGGACUAGUUUGAAUCCCUGCUCAGAUACGAAGCUUACAGGGUGACCUUGGGCCAAUCACAGUAUCUCAGCCUAACCUAGGGUUGUUGGGAUAAAAUGGGGAGGUGGAGAACUUUGUGAUCCCCCUCUGUUGGUGCCUUGGAAAGGAAUAUCGGAUUUAAAUGGGAAAAGUAAAUAAAUCCAGCAAACAUUCCCAGGAUCCUUUGGGUGGCCCAAACUCUUGUCAAACACAUCCUGCCAUGCCUUUCUCCUGACGUCUGCAUGAGCCAGGUCAGACCUUCUGCGGAAUGAUAUAUGAUAAUAUAUGGCCAAUUCUCCCCUGACAAUGGGAAGAUGGAUUUUCUGACCUUUGAGGUCUUUUCCUCCGUCUCUGGGCUUUGUAUGAUAAAUGGCUAGAAUGAAGCACUCGGCUUCUCCUAGGGUUAGAGGCAAAGAGGAAUGUGAUUGACUCUGUGUGCAGGUGGCAGAGGCCCAUUAUGGAAUAUUAAAGCUAUGCUAAAUAUUCUAGUCCCCAUCAACCUCUCUUCCUACCGCUCUCAAAAAUGCUCAGAGGGCUGAUCUUGAUGCCAAGGGUGUUAUGAUGAAAGAGAAAGCACUUUUGCUGAGCUAGCAAAUAAAAAAGGGGGGCUCUCCUCUGCUCUUCCUUUCCCCCCACAAUAUGUACAUGGUACCUCGGGUUACAGACACUUCAGGUUACAGACUCCGCUAACCCAGAAAUAGUACCUCGGGUUAAGAACUUUGCUUCAGGAUGAGAACAGAAAUCGUGCUCCAGCGGUGCGGCAGCAGCAGGAGGCCCCAUUAGCUAAAGUGGUGCUUCAGGUUAAGAACAGUUUCAGGUUAAGUAUGGACCUCCGGAACGAAUUAAGUACUUAACCCGAGGUACCAGUGUACUUGGGAGGGUCGAGGAAGGGCAGGAGACUUGAUGCUAUUUCAUUUUACUUUUAAUUAGUAUACCACCUUUCUAUAUUACUAUUCACAAGGUGGUUUACAGCAACAAAAUAUACAACAAAGAACACACACCUUAUAAUCUUUGACCCCUCGGAGAAGGAUCUGAAAUAUUCUCCUUGAAGUUUGAAUAUGUUUCAUUCUGGAUUGUUUCAUUUGAUGUUUUGAUGUGUUGUAAACCGCUUUGAGAUUCUUUCUUUAAAAUAUAAGGCGGUAUAGAAAUGAAAUGACUAAUAAUCUGAUCCACUACAGAAAGUCAUAAUAAAACAUAACUUUAAAAUGGAACGACUUAUAUCAAAUAAAGUACCGUAUUGGCCCAAAUAUAAGCUGCACCUUUUUUUUCCAAAUUCCGAUCGUGAAAAGUUAAAGUGCGGCUUAUAUUCGUGUCCUUACGCCGCCGGCAAAGCGAUGCAGCUUCCCCCCACAGAGAUCAGCCCAGGAGCGUGGGGCAACGGUGCCCAUCCCAUCCACGGCUCCCCCAAGCCGCCAAAUUUUAAAGGUGCAAUUUGUUUGCGGGUGCGGCUUAUAUUAGGGCCAAUACAGUAAUAUUCAAUAAUCUAUUUGAAUAUAAUAGUACACAAUAAAAUUAACUAUCAAUACCUCAGCAAAUAACAAUUAAAAUCACACUUACCUGCAAGGCUGCUGAUUGCACCUGUUCGAUUGCACCUGUGUGUAGAAGGAGGAAGGGGAGAAGCAGCUCUGAAUCUGCCCAUCAGAAAAGUACGAAGUUAUGAGGUUGACAGCUGUGUUCUAUCUCCACUGGCGAGGUAGGAUGCUGAGAAUCACAAGGGGUGCAGGAAGCGCUGCUAUUGCCCAUGUGUGUGUGUGUGUGUGUCAUUGGGGCAUCUACUUGGCCACUGUAAGAACAGAAGGCUGGACUUAUUACCAUAGCUGUCAACUUUUCUCUUUUCUUGCGAGGAAUCCUAUUUGGAAUAAGGGAAUUUCCCUUUAAAAAAAGGAAACGUUGACAGCUAUGCUUAUUACCUAAGUGUUAACUUCCACAUUCUAUUUAAGUUUUCACAUGCUGUAAAAGCCACUUCUAGAACCAUCGUGGGACAUUGCAGUAGUACUCAUUUCCAUAUUAUUUGCCAGUGGGUUUAUCCCGGAAGCAAAUAACACAGAAAUGAGCACCAUAUUCCACUAUAGUUCCUAAAGUAGCUUUUAUAUCGUGCAGAAGCUCUAAUUUUGUGCAGGACUUAACAGUUGGGGGAAAGUCUUGAAAACGGAAUAAGCUGCCAUGUGAACACAGACUAGAUGGGCUGUGGUCUGAUCCAGCAGGGCUUUUAUGUUAUUUUAUUUAUUGGUUUCAUUUCAUUUCUUACCUGCCCUUCAAGCGCAAGGUACCUGGGCAGGUUACAGCGAUGUUUAUACUCUCACAAGGAAUCACAGAAUGGUAGAAUUGGAAGGGACCCUGGGGUCAUCUAGUCCAACCCCCUACAAUGCAGGAAUCUUUCUGCCCAAUAUGGGGCUCAAACCCACCAACGUGAGAUUAAGAGUCUCGUGCUCUACCGACUGAGCUAUGAUUUGUCCUAGUGGAAUUCUCUGCUGCUUAGAGAGUUGAAAAGCAUAUACAUUGCGUUUUGGGUUUGGUUUGAAACUAGUUUGAAACUGGUCACCGGCAGAGGGAAUCUGUACAUCGACACAUUGAUCUUAAAGCCAGACCAUCCCUACUAUGGACUGGUGUUUAUCUUGCUGAGGUCAUUCCCUGUGAUUUGCUUUACACUUCCAAAUCCAGUUAGCAUCCUUUUUUCUUUCUUUUUAACUGAUUGAAUGAACUGCAAUUAUGUACCAUUCAGCUGUUCUGACUCAAAUCAGUGAGAAACGUUUCUCCAGAGUAUUAGGGGUCGUGAUAUUAAGGGGGGUAUGAAAUUGUUUCUCCUUACGAGAUUUCUACGGUACAAGCUUCAGUUGGAAGGCAGUGCUGGAUAGGAAUGGGGCAGGGUGGGGGAAGAAACCCUGAUUGCAGCAAGAUUUUUGCGGAUUGACCUUAUAGAAGGGUUGAUCAUAUUCUGUGAUCGUGGCAGAGGAGAGCUUCAUUGAAGAUCCCCAAAUAUAUUGAAAAGCUGUUCUAGCAUAGCACUGAAUUGUGUGGUGGAAUCCUGAACUGUAACACUUCAGAUUUCAGAUCAGGGUGGGUGAUGAUGAUGAUGAUGAUGAUGAUAAUGAUGAUUAGGCGAGUAUUACUAUCUGUGAGUUAAACCACAGAGCCUAGGGCUUGCCGAUCAGAAGGUCAGCGGUUCAAAUCCCCGCGACGGGAUGAGCUCCCGCUGCUCGAUCCCAGCUCUUGCCAACCUAGCAGUUUGAAAGCACAUCAAAGUGCAAGUAGAUAAAUAGCUACCACUCCGGCGGGAAGGUAAACACCGUUUCCGUGAGCUGCUCUGGUUCACCAUGCUGGCCACAUGACCCGGAAGCUGUACGCCGGCUCCCUUGGCCAGUAAAGUGAGAUGAGCGCCGCAACCCCAGAGUCAGCCACGACUGGACCUAAUGGUCAGGGGUCCCUUUACCUUUAUUACUACUACUACUACUACUAUUACUAUUACUACUACUAUUAUUUUGCCUCCAGAAACUGGUGUGUUGAGCCUAUGGAAGCCACUCUAAACCAUGGUUAGUGUAUACGUUAUGGCUGCUUCAAACCACAUUUUUGCAGGAUGUCUUGACUGAGCCAAUCUCUCACCCAAACCUACCCCACAGGACUGCCAUGAGAAUAAAACAAGCCUCAUCCAUGAUGAAAUGAGUUUGUUGGAAGACGUGG
RNAcentral lists this long non-coding RNA (4562 nucleotides) under Podarcis lilfordi (Lilford's wall lizard). The record is from RNAcentral. Lineage: Eukaryota; Metazoa; Chordata; Lepidosauria; Squamata; Lacertidae.